UAGUGUGUGCGUGUGUGAGGUCGACCAGGAGAAAGCUCAGGGAGCUCAAACCCUAACUUCCACAACUUGAUCAAAUUGAAGCCCAAAUCAAGAGCCAAAUCACUGCAUGAACACAAAUUCGUGAUCACCUAAUCAUGGGGAUUACAAGUUUGACGCGUCACAAGCUAGGUGGAAGCUUGGAGUGAAAGCGGGUCAAACAAGUCAAGCAUGGAAGAAAAGCGUAGCUCGGAUGCAAGGUAAGUGAAACUUACAUAAUUGUGUAGAUUACUUGUUCAUUCUAUACGUUAUAGAUGCAAUAAUGCUAAUAUUGAAAAUAUGGAUUUCCGACGUGAUUGAUACGAGUCGGAACAUAUAAAGAUGAUAAAAACCAUGUUUAUGGCAAAAAGGGGAUUCGGUAAUGAAAUCCGGGACGGGAUGGAUGUAUGAAUUAGAAGUCAAAAACCAUGUUUUUGAUUUAAUAGGCAACGUUGGGCAUAUAGGCCGAACGGGUCAAAUGGUGGUGAUAACACUAUUUGACAAUAUCGACUAAUGCGAUUGUCAAGUCUUGUGUUAACAGGAGCGAUUAGCGAUUCAGUUAAUUUCGCCCACACUAAGUGUGAUGAUAAAAGCAAGGUAUAAAUUGGGUCUAUAUGUUGACCCUAGCCAGGUACGUAUGCAUACGAUUAUAGUUAACAUACAAACUUGGUCAAAUAGGUAGUGGAAGCCCCUCGUAGUAAAUGAGGGGCUAAUGUCGACUAAAAUGCCCUUGAAGGGCAAAUUGAGCAAACAACUUAUAAAGGUUGUUUAGGAACUUAUCUUACGAUCUUGUAACCUUUAGACGCGCAUGAAAGUUGUAGACAUAAACUUUCAAGAGUUAAAUGCUUAAAUUGUGUGUUGCCGCAAAAAUAACACAUCCGUAGGAUUAAACUCGGAAUAAAUAGUCCAUUUCGUUAAAUCCACCACAUUCAUAGUUGUGGUGGAAGACUAGCUAAUAACAAAUUGGUGGAACUAUGAG
This 994-nucleotide long non-coding RNA is filed under the name Helianthus annuus (common sunflower). RNAcentral describes it as "hypothetical non coding rna". Lineage: Eukaryota; Viridiplantae; Streptophyta; Magnoliopsida; Asterales; Asteraceae. The record is from RNAcentral.